Molecule: ribosomal RNA, 253 nt
Filed under: uncultured bacterium
Lineage: Bacteria
Description: partial 16S ribosomal RNA
Rfam family: Bacterial small subunit ribosomal RNA
Source: RNAcentral
UACAGAGGGUGCAAACGUUGUUCGGAAUUACUGGGCGUAAAGCGUGUGUAGGCGGUCUCAUAAGUCGGGCGUGAAAGCCCCGGGCUCAACCCGGGAAGUGCACUCGAUACUGUGAGACUUGAGUUUCGGAGAGGUUGGUAGAAUUCUUGGUGUAGAGGUGAAAUUCGUAGAUAUCAAGAGGAAUACCGGUGGCGAAGGCGGCCAACUGGACGAAAACUGACGCUGAGACACGAAAGCAUGGGGAGCAAACAGG